CUCCCCCACUCCAGCCACGAUAGCACGUUCUUUUCGGUUACCCCAAACUCGUCCGCUCGCCUGCUCCGUACCACCCGCCGCCGGCGCUACUCCUCGACCCACCACCUUCGUCGGCGCCGCUCCUCAACCAGGCGCCAGCGGCCUCACCAGCCUCGCCGGAGCACGAUCCCACACAGCCAAGGGCCGUAACUGCAGAAGUAGCGCAGCACGGUCCACACGGAUGGUGUCGUUCCGGUUGCGGAUCCCGUCCAUCGGCGCACCACGGGACCGAUUCGUUGGCACCUCGUCGUCAUCCAUGCUACCAGCGUCCUGCUCCCUCCUUAGUCCAUGGAAGCGGCGGGCCAUGGUGGAGUGCCCCUGGCUGUCGAGCUGGGAUCCACGGAGGCUGGAGUUGCUGGCUGAUUUUGCACCUAUUCUCACCGCCUCACCGGCACUGACUCCUCCUGGAUCAGGCGUAGUAGGCCUAAUGAUGGAUCAGGCGUAGUAGGCCUAGGGAGCAGCUGAUCCCCACUGUCUGGCUGUAUCGAUGCUUUCUCCCACAACCAAAGAUGGCAUCCAGUUCCCCAGAUCACAAGCGCUUGCCAUCAAAGCAUCCUCAUCCAUCUGCUCUUCAUGAUUGCUCACAUAGGUAGUUUCUUCUACAAUUACUGAUUUCUACAAAGCACCCCAGCACCUUUUCGCAACUCUUUAUGCUAUGUACUUUCUAAACAACAAAAGCCUCCUAAGCACAAUAUGUAUUUACCAGCUUUUAUGUGCAUUAAUUUUUCAGAAUAUGCAGUAUCAGUUCUAGCUGAGUUCACUGGUUAGUUUUUUUUGGUUUAUAUGGAACGAAAUUGUAGCAUGUUCAUGGUCAGAUUACAAUCAGAAUUCUAGGUGUGCUUGAUUUUAAUCUGCUAACUGCAGGGGGAAGAAUAAUUAUAUAGUCAAUUCCAAAGUCAUCUCAGUAUACAUAUGAUGAAAUCAUAAUAAAUGGUUGCAUACUCGUUUUCAAUGAUACUUCUCUCCACCAAGUUCAUGGCUUUCUAUAUCACGUCUUCAAUUUUUGUGUAUGAAUUUUUGACUGCUGAACUUGGUGAUGCUGACCAUGGUGUUCCUCUGCAACGACACUGGCAUCACCUGUGACCAUGCUGGCUGCAUGAGAUUUUCGAGCUCUGGGAUGGCAAGUUCAAGCUGCCGAGCGACCGUCAUGUUGCAUGUGGAGCUAGCCUUGUUCCACGAGGGGAGGAAAACCGGGGGUGCGACAUGACUCGGACGGCUCCGGGGCUCGUUCUCGUCGGUGGAGAUUGGACGCUGGGGACCAAAUGCCUAUUUGGAACCCGGGGACUAAAUAGUGCUGCCCUAUAUAUAUAUACCUAUGUGCUAUACUACACCCUAGGUGUAGAAUAAGUAUUCUACACCCAGCACCCAAACCAACUAGCCCACCAACCAUCCUCUUUGCCCGACCCGAUCCAACCUCCCACUUGGCCCACGGCCCAUCCACGAGUCAUGUUACUACCCACCAGGCCACCACCCUGUCCACGCUAACAUGCUGCCCAAACAGCGAUUCGAGGCUCGAUUCAGCGGCGGCGACGACGACGCGAUUUCAGGUGGCGCAUCCCUCCCGCCCAACUACUCCAGCGCACCCUAGCGCGGCGUGGAUCCCAGGCAGCGCACCCGAGCAGCGGCGGGAGCCCAAGCGGCACGCCCUCCCGCACCCUUGAGCGGGGACGACGACGACGCCCGUGGCUUGUGCUAGCCGCUGUUCUCCAUCGAGUUCUCGUUCUUCGCCGCUACAAGUGGUGAUGUAAAUGCCAAGGGUUAAAAUCAAAGGCGAUCUUCCUAAAGGCAUCAAAGGUAUAUCAUUGAGGGAUAGCCAAGGUGCCGAGUUCCGAUAGACCCCACACAGACCCAGCCUCGAGAUCUUGAGAUAGUCCUGCAGAUGCUGCACUGGACACAGUCUUAAUCGGAACGUGCAGCUGUAGGCUGUGGUGAUGAUGAGAUAGCUACACCAGCUACAUUCAUCCCGAGCUCACUAGAUGAGGGGUGUAAACGCCAUGGAUUAAAAUCAUAGGCGGCAUUUUAAAGGCAUCAAAGGUAUAUCAUUGAGGGAUUGCGGAGGUGUCGAGUUCCAGAUGGACCUCACACAGACCUAGUCUCCAGAUGCUUUCGUGGUCGCGACAUAGGACACAGUUGAAUUAGAAACAUGCAACUGUAUAUGGUGGUGAUGAUGAGAAUACUCCAGCAGCUACACUCAUUUUGUAGAUCUUUUUAGACUACAAGAGACUGUUAAUUUGUGACUAAUAUGUAUACAGAUUCAUGCUCACCGCCAAUUAUAUGUAUAUACUUGGAUUUUCGGUAAUCUAGAUAAACAAUUAUUCAGUAUAUGCACUUCCAGUAAUUUUGUAUAUUUUUGAGAAAUUGUUUUCUAGUAAUACCCAUGUACAUGCUUGGAUUUAGUAGUGCAGAGUUUCAAGUACAUCCAAUAAUACCUAUGCACAUUUAGAUUCUGUAA
Panicum virgatum (switchgrass) is the source of this 2491-nucleotide long non-coding RNA. RefSeq lists it as uncharacterized. The transcript is spliced from 5 exons. The record is from RefSeq and is a predicted model, not a curated record. Lineage: Eukaryota; Viridiplantae; Streptophyta; Magnoliopsida; Poales; Poaceae.